GCCAGGUAUGGUGGCACAUACCUGUAAUCCCAGCAGCUUGGGAGGCUGAGACAGGAGAAUUGCGAGUUCAAAGCCAGCCUUAGCAACUGUGAGGCACUAAGCAACUCAAUGAGACCCUGUCUGUA
RNAcentral lists this small RNA (125 nucleotides) under Marmota monax (woodchuck). Lineage: Eukaryota; Metazoa; Chordata; Mammalia; Rodentia; Sciuridae. The record is from RNAcentral.